RNAcentral lists this ribosomal RNA (627 nucleotides) under Streptococcus mutans. RNAcentral's name for it is "bacterial SSU rRNA". It matches the Rfam family "Bacterial small subunit ribosomal RNA", at positions 372 to 990 of the family's 1533-position model. The record is from RNAcentral. Lineage: Bacteria; Bacillati; Bacillota; Bacilli; Lactobacillales; Streptococcaceae.
UGGACGAAAGUCUGACCGAGCAACGCCGCGUGAGUGAAGAAGGUUCUCGGAUCGUAAAGCUCUGUUGUAAGUCAAGAACGUGUGUGAGAGUGGAAAGUUCACACAGUGACGGUAGCUUACCAGAAAGGGACGGCUAACUACGUGCCAGCAGCCGCGGUAAUACGUAGGUCCCGAGCGUUGUCCGGAUUUAUUGGGCGUAAAGGGAGCGCAGGCGGUCAGGAAAGUCUGGAGUAAAAGGCUAUGGCUCAACCAUAGUGUGCUCUGGAAACUGUCUGACUUGAGUGCAGAAGGGGAGAGUGGAAUUCCAUGUGUAGCGGUGAAAUGCGUAGAUAUAUGGAGGAACACCAGUGGCGAAAGCGGCUCUCUGGUCUGUCACUGACGCUGAGGCUCGAGAGCGUGGGUAGCGAACAGGGUUAGAUACCCUGGUAGUCCACGCCGUAAACGAUGAGUGCUAGGUGUUAGGCCCUUUCCGGGGCUUAGUGCCGGAGCUAACGCAAUAAGCACUCCGCCUGGGGAGUACGACCGCAAGGUUGAAACUCAAAGGAGUUGACGGGGGCCCGCACAAGCGGUGGAGCAUGUGGUUUAAUUCGAAGCAACGCGAAGAACCUUACCAGGUCUUGACAUCCC